GGCCCCGUAGCUCAGUGGAUUAGAGCAGCUGCCUUCUAAGCAGUUGGUCGCAGGUUCGACUCCUGCCAGAGUGC
Molecule: transfer RNA, 74 nt
Filed under: Chloroflexota bacterium
Lineage: Bacteria; Bacillati; Chloroflexota
Description: Chloroflexi bacterium (freshwater metagenome) tRNA-Arg
Rfam family: tRNA
About the family: Transfer RNA (tRNA) molecules are approximately 80 nucleotides in length. Their secondary structure includes four short double-helical elements and three loops (D, anti-codon, and T loops).
Source: RNAcentral